This 80-nucleotide transfer RNA is filed under the name Plutella xylostella (diamondback moth). RNAcentral describes it as "tRNA-Ser". Lineage: Eukaryota; Metazoa; Arthropoda; Insecta; Lepidoptera; Plutellidae. The record is from RNAcentral.
GACCGAAUGGCGUAGUGGUUAGUGAGUAGUGACCCUGACUACUGAGCCGAUGGUCCCGGGUUCGAUUCCCGGCUGGGGCA